This 906-nucleotide long non-coding RNA is filed under the name Salmo salar (Atlantic salmon). RNAcentral's name for it is "lncRNA (ENSSSAG00000100785.1)". The record is from RNAcentral. Lineage: Eukaryota; Metazoa; Chordata; Actinopteri; Salmoniformes; Salmonidae.
GAGCGGGGGUCAACUGUCCUCCCUGUACCAAAAGAGGCCAACGUCAUGACAGUAGCGUUCCACAUAAUUUUUAGAAAGUGAAACUUUAGAAAAUACAAAACAAAAUAAAGAAUAAACAAACCGCGACCAACAAUACUAUACAUAAACAAUAUCCCAUAACCCCCAAGUGAAAAACAAGCUACUUAAGUAUUAUCCCAAAUUAGAGACAACGAUUACCAGCUGCCUCUAAUUGGGAAUCAUACCAAUCACCCAAACUUAGAAAAACUAAAUUAGAACCCCACAUAGAAUAUAACAACUAGAAAAAAAACCUGUCACGCCCUGACCUACUCUACCAUAGAAAAUAAAAUCUUUCUAUGGUCAGGACGUGACACAGAGUCAGAGUGCUGGUAAGUCUCAUGUCUACUGAUUUGAGCUAAAAUAUGGUGUAGAUUUUAGUUUCUCAGAAAACUACAGGAAGUGAUGCAACACUUGAGGUUUUGGUCUCCUCCUUUAUCACACAUUUAUUUUCUGUCUGUCUGUCUGCCUUCUAGCCUGUCUGUUUGUCUUCCUGCCUUACUGAGAAACCAACUGAUCGAAUGAACGUUGUAAUUAAUGCUAUAAUUCAUGUUAUCUAUAAUAUAUACAGUACUCUGUAAAGUAUCUCCUCCUGUCUGUGGUCAGGUCUGAUGGUAUCUAUGAUAUAUACAGUACUCUGUAAAGUCUCUCCUCCUGUCUGUGGUCAGGUCUGAUGGUAUCUAUGAUAUAAACAGUACUCUGUAAAGGCUCUCCUCCUGUCUGUGGUCAGGUCUGAUGGUAUCUAUGAUAUAUACAGUACUCUGUAAAGUCUCUCCUCCUGUCUGUGGUCAGGUCUGAUGGUAUCUAUGAUAUAUACAGUACUCUGUAAAGUCUCUCCUCCUGUCUGUGAUC